Molecule: ribosomal RNA, 466 nt
Filed under: uncultured bacterium
Lineage: Bacteria
Description: partial 16S ribosomal RNA
Rfam family: Bacterial small subunit ribosomal RNA
Source: RNAcentral
ACGCACGCUGGCGGCGUGCUUCACCCAUGCAAGUCGAACGGAAAGGCCUCUUUCGGGGGGUACUCGAGUGGCGAACGGGUGAGUAACACGUGAGUAACCUGCCCUUGACUUUGGGAUAACUUCAGGAAACUGGGGCUAAUACCGGAUAGGAGCUCCUGCUGCAUGGUGGGGGUUGGAAAGUUUCGGCGGUUGGGGAUGGACUCGCGGCUUAUCAGCUUGUUGGUGGGGUAGUGGCUUACCAAGGCUUUGACGGGUAGCCGGCCUGAGAGGGUGACCGGCCACAUUGGGACUGAGAUACGGCCCAGACUCCUACGGGAGGCAGCAGUGGGGAAUAUUGCACAAUGGGUGGAAGCCUGAUGCAGCAACGCCGUGUGCGGGAUGACGGCCUUCGGGUUGUAAACCGCUUUCGCUCAUGACGAAGCUUUGUGUGACGGUAGUGGGUAAAGAAGCACCGGCUAACUACGUG